CCUACGGGGUGCAGCAGUGGGGGAUAUUGCACAAUGGGGGAAACCCUGAUGCAGCGACGCCGCGUGGGUGAAGAAGCGCCUCGGCGCGUAAAGCCCUGUCAGCAGGGAAGAAAAUGACGGUACCUGAAGAAGAAGCCCCGGCUAACUACGUGCCAGCAGCCGCGGUAAUACGUAGGGGGCAAGCGUUAUCCGGAUUUACUGGGUGUAAAGGGGGCGCAGACGGCGAUGCAAGCCAGGAGUGAAAGCCCGGGGCCCAACCCCGGGACUGCUCUUGGAACUGCGUGGCUAGAGUGCAGGAGGGGCAGGCGGAAUACCUGGUGUAGCGGUGAAAUGCGUAGAUAUCAGGAGGAACACCGGUGGCGAAGGCGGCCUGCUGGACUGCAACUGACGUUGAGGCCCGAAAGCGUGGGGAGCAAACAGGAUUAGAUACCCCAGUAGUC
This 440-nucleotide ribosomal RNA is filed under the name uncultured bacterium. RNAcentral's name for it is "partial 16S ribosomal RNA". It matches the Rfam family "Bacterial small subunit ribosomal RNA", at positions 338 to 795 of the family's 1533-position model. The record is from RNAcentral.